Molecule: long non-coding RNA, 227 nt
Organism: Limulus polyphemus (Atlantic horseshoe crab)
Lineage: Eukaryota; Metazoa; Arthropoda; Merostomata; Xiphosura; Limulidae
Exons: 3
Source: RefSeq, a predicted model, not a curated record
UUCUUCAUUAGGAAAACACUCGCCAAUAGAAGACACUGUGAUUCAAGUGUUCUGGUCCAAAGAUGUCAAAAUAAUUUAUGAAAUGUUUAAAUUUUAUGGUUGGGAAAUUUCUGGAUUAUUCGAAAAACGGGACAUCUAUGUAGAGCUGAAACAGGGAUUCAAAGAGGGAGUUAUUCGGAGUCGAUGGAUGAAGUGGAAAGAAGGGGUUAUGUUUAUUUUUCUCUCUA